Molecule: ribosomal RNA, 424 nt
Filed under: uncultured prokaryote
Description: bacterial SSU rRNA
Rfam family: Bacterial small subunit ribosomal RNA
Source: RNAcentral
UGGGGAAUCUUGCACAAUGGGCGAAAGCCUGAUGCAGCCAUGCCGCGUGAAUGAUGAAGGCCUUAGGGUUGUAAAAUUCUUUCACCAGGGAUGAUAAUGACAGUACCUGGAGAAGAAGCCCCGGCUAACUUCGUGCCAGCAGCCGCGGUAAUACGAAGGGGGCUAGCGUUGUUCGGAAUUACUGGGCGUAAAGCGCGCGUAGGCGGGUUUUUAAGCCAGGGGUGAAAUCCCGGAGCUCAACUCCGGAACUGCCUUUGGAACUGGAAACCUCGAGGCCAGGAGAGGUCAGUGGAAUACCGAGUGGAGAGGUGAAAUUCGCAGAUAUUCGGUGGAACACCAGUGGCGAAGGCGACUGACUGGACUGGUACUGACGCUGAGGCGCGAAAGUGUGGGGAGCAAACAGGAUUAGAUACCCCCGUAGUCC